UCCGAAANCGGUAGACGCUACGGACUUAAAGAAUUUGAGCUUUGAUAGAAAAACUUAUUAAAUGCUAGCUUUCAGAUUCAGGGAAACUUAGGUUGAAAAAAGUAUAAGCGAUCCUGAGCCAAAUUUUAUAUUUAAAAAACAAAAUAGGUGCAGAGACUCGAUGGAAGCUAUCCUAACGCAAAAAGAUUUAAGACUUAUUUAAUGAAAUUUUUUGAUUUAAUAAAAGAAAAAAAUGUCAUUAAAAUUUUUUAAUUUACAAGCGAGGAUAAAGAUAGAGUCCAAUUUUACAUGUUAAUUUUAACAACAAUUUAAAUUGUAAUAAAAAGAAAAUCCGUUGGCUUUAUUGACCGUGAGGGUUCAAGUCCCUCUACCCCCAAAAUACUUAAUUCUGAUUUUUUUAUUGACAUAAGUUUACAGUUUGUGUUAGGAUAGCCUAAAGAAAAAGCCGGAAUAGCUCAGUUGGUAGAGCAGAGGACUGAAAAUCCUCGUGUCAC
Molecule: unclassified non-coding RNA, 494 nt
Filed under: Chionoloma schimperiana
Lineage: Eukaryota; Viridiplantae; Streptophyta; Bryopsida; Pottiales; Pottiaceae
Description: partial contains tRNA-Leu, trnL-trnF intergenic spacer, and tRNA-Phe
Rfam family: Group I catalytic intron (bases 18-301)
About the family: Group I catalytic introns are large self-splicing ribozymes. They catalyse their own excision from mRNA, tRNA and rRNA precursors in a wide range of organisms.
Source: RNAcentral